Sapajus apella (tufted capuchin) is the source of this 759-nucleotide long non-coding RNA. RefSeq lists it as uncharacterized. The record is from RefSeq and is a predicted model, not a curated record. The transcript has 3 exons. NCBI's taxonomy places the organism in Eukaryota, Metazoa, Chordata, Mammalia, Primates, Cebidae.
CCAGAAUCAUCUAAGAAACAUAUAAUUGAUGAGAACCAACUUACUCUUAUUGAGAAGGUUGAAAAGAAGAGAUGUGAAAUACUCAAUAAGUGGGAUGAGAUACAAGCUCUGGAAAAAGAAAUUAAAACAACUUUGGUUCAUACUGGAGUUUCAGGUAUCACUGAAAAUAGGAUUAAAAGCAUAGAGCAAGAAGUUAUAAAAUUUGAAACAGAAAAUACGAUUUUGAAGAAGAAAAUAAAAGUAAGUUUUUUUGUGAAUCAAUGUUUAUCAAUAAAAAUAUUUCCUCUAGUGCCUGCUUGUCCUAUGUAAUAAGCAUGACCCAAUGAUGAUAAUUCUUUGUAGGUUAUUGAAAGCAAUAUGAAGCAGACCAUGGGAAGAAUCAGUGAAGAGGGGCAGGAGGGCCUUUGGAAAUUUAUCAAGGAAUUUGUAAAAUUCGAAGAAAUAGAAGAUAACUCUCAAGCGACUGAAUAAAUGGCCAAUGAAAAUUCUUAACUUCCAUGUAUUUAGCAUGGUUGUUUGCAGAUGUAUAUACAUUCAUAAAGAUACAUUUCAUCCACUUUAAUCUCUAGUAAAAUUAAUGUUGUAUAUGUAUCCUACUCAGAAUACUGAAACAAACACAUGUAUACAUAUGAUUAGUUUCUACUGUUGCAUAUAUGUUUAUGGCAAUACUAGUUCUUAACAUGUUUUACUUUCAUUUAAUAAUGUUCCACUGUGGAAAAUAUUUUUGAUUAUUUGCUAAUAAAGAAUUCAGCAUGGCUU